RNAcentral lists this ribosomal RNA (497 nucleotides) under uncultured bacterium. RNAcentral describes it as "bacterial SSU rRNA". It matches the Rfam family "Bacterial small subunit ribosomal RNA", at positions 34 to 507 of the family's 1533-position model. The record is from RNAcentral.
CGCUGGCGGCGUGCCUAAUACAUGCAAGUUGAACGCUUGAUUUUCACCGAAGCUUGCUUCACCGAAAUCAAGAGUAGCGAACGGGUGAGUAACGCGUGGGUAACCUACCUAUCAGCGGGGGAUAACUAUUGGAAACGAUAGCUAAUACCGCAUAACAAUGUUGGAUGCAUAUUCGACAUUUGAAAGUACCAACUGGUACACUGAGAGAUGGACCGCGUUGUAUUAGCUAGUUGGUAGUGUAAUGGACUACCAAGGCGAUGAUACAUAGCCGACCUGAGAGGGUGAUCGGCCACAUUGGGACUGAGACACGGCCCAAACUCCUACGGGAGGCAGCAGUAGGGAAUCUUCGGCAAUGGACGAAAGUCUGACCGAGCAACGCCGCGUGAGUGAAGAAGGUUUUCGGAUCGUAAAACUCUGUUGUUAGAGAAGAACGUUGCAUAGAGUGGAAAAUUAUGCAAGUGACGGUAUCUAACCAGAAAGGGACGGCUAACUACGUG